GCUUAGGAAUGAAGCAGAGGUCACACUGUCUGUGACAAAGGGCGUACCAGCUUUUGGAACUGUUCACGUGGACAGACACCUGGAUAAAAGUAUAACCAACAAGGCCCCGCUGUGGGAUAGGACUGUUAUCCUCAGGCCUGUAACCAUCCAUCCGGACCUCAGGCUCUCCAGAGUCUUGAUUUAGGGCUUUUGUAGAAACACUGUACCUCAGUACUUUGAGAAAGAAAGAACCCAUGAAGGCCAGCUGUGGUGCCAUGCAUCUGUACUCUCAGCACUCCAGAGGCAGACAGAGUUCUCUGGAUCCUCUGCUUGGGAGGUCUCCUUCCCCCAAAAGGGACAUCGUGGCCCAGCUUGGCAGGGAGCUGGGAAGCCAAUGCUGACGAGAGGUGACCCCACCUUGAACUCUGCUGGCAAGGAAGUGCGGUCCAUAAGGAGAACAGGAGUCUGGGCUUCUUCACUCUCUUGGCCGGACCGUCAAUACUUUGAGGCAGACCCUGAACUUCUUGGGCUCAAAGAACAGGGCUGAAGACCCCAGGCUGUGGGGCAGGCAGCCACUCCUCAGCUGGAAUGGGAAGUAUAUUAUAUUGCUGACUCCCACCCCCAGGGCAGGG
RNAcentral lists this long non-coding RNA (611 nucleotides) under Cricetulus griseus (Chinese hamster). RNAcentral's name for it is "lncRNA (ENSCGRG00015031369.1)". Lineage: Eukaryota; Metazoa; Chordata; Mammalia; Rodentia; Cricetidae. The record is from RNAcentral.